CAUGCCCCACAAAUCUAAGAUUUAUGCUUUAUUGUUAUUAUUUUUCAAACUGUAUGUUUCACCUUUACAAGCGAGAUCACUAUCAGGAGGGAGACACGAGCAAACGUCUUCACCUCCAAGAAAGAGCGGCGUGAAGCAAAACUAUCCCGAACCAGCGUUAGCUAACUUAACGUCAAUCCCGCACAAGCUAGCAAGCUACACAGACGAACUUAUGUUGAAGUUUUACCACAAAAAAACAGGAUACCGCCCACUGAACCAGAGCCACCUGGUCCUCACCUGGGGAAGGAAGACCAGAAGCAGGUGAAACGGAGCCAAUGCAGUUUUAAAGUCAGUCGAUUAAACGUGUGGACGGAGGUGCAAGGAGUUGGAGAGAGAAAGAAGGAGAAAGAGACUGAGAGGGGCCUAAUGUUUAUCACAGCAGGGAGUUGAAUUCCAGAUGGGGAGAUAAUGAAAAAAACAAGCAAACAAUUAUACAAAAAUAGACAAAGUGGGGAAAAAAGAGAGAGCAGACUGACAGACGACAGGAAUGAUAUUUGGGGCAAACUGGACAAGUUUUUAUUUGUACUCCCAAAAGGCCAGAUUUAGACAGGUCUGCGUAGAAUAAGAGUAGAGUUUUGUAUUGUGUUGAUACAAAAGUAAG
Molecule: long non-coding RNA, 640 nt
Organism: Seriola aureovittata
Lineage: Eukaryota; Metazoa; Chordata; Actinopteri; Carangiformes; Carangidae
Exons: 3
Source: RefSeq, a predicted model, not a curated record